UACGUAGGGUGCAAGCGUUAAUCGGAAUUACUGGGCGUAAAGCGCGCGUAGGCGGCUUGACAAGUCGAGUGUGAAAUCCCCGGGCUUAACCUGGGAGCUGCAUUCGAAACUGUCGAGCUAGAGUAUGGUAGAGGGUGGUGGAAUUUCCUGUGUAGCGGUGAAAUGCGUAGAUAUCGGGAGGAACACCUGAGGCGAAGGCGGGCUACUGGGCCGAUACUGACGCUGAUGCGCGAAAGCCAGGGGAGCGAACGGG
This 253-nucleotide ribosomal RNA is filed under the name uncultured prokaryote. RNAcentral describes it as "partial 16S ribosomal RNA". It matches the Rfam family "Bacterial small subunit ribosomal RNA", at positions 524 to 776 of the family's 1533-position model. The record is from RNAcentral.